This 236-nucleotide long non-coding RNA is filed under the name Eucalyptus grandis. Its description in RNAcentral is "long non-coding RNA (EGRA_LNC006343)". The record is from RNAcentral. Lineage: Eukaryota; Viridiplantae; Streptophyta; Magnoliopsida; Myrtales; Myrtaceae.
GUCAAAUAGACUAUGUUAAUUAUGGUGUCCAAAAAUAGUGAGACCCAUGCUGUUCAAAGAAUAUAACUUUCAAUUUUAUUUCUACACUAUUUAAUCCCUUCGUUCCAUCAUUAAUAAAACGAGUCUCCUCACUACUGUUUUGAUCAAUUCAAAGAAUGUCAUGGACUCACCUCAAAUAAUGCUGAGACAACCGUAAAAAAAUUUCAUCUUAAAUUAGUGAUCAACAUUGAGAAAAA